GAUGAACGCUGGCGGCGUGCCUAAUACAUGCAAGUCGAGCGAACAGACGAGGAGCUUGCUCCUCUGACGUUAGCGGCGGACGGGUGAGUAACACGUGGAUAACCUACCUAUAAGACUGGGAUAACUUCGGGAAACCGGAGCUAAUACCGGAUAAUAUAUUGAACCGCAUGGUUCAAUAGUGAAAGACGGUUUUGCUGUCACUUAUAGAUGGAACCGCGCCGCAUUAGCUAGUUGGUAAGGUAACGGCUUACCAAGGCAACGAUGCGUAGCCGACCUGAGAGGGUGAUCGGCCACACUGGAACUGAGAUACGGUCCAGACUCCUACGGGAGGCAGCAGUAGGGAAUCUUCCGCAAUGGGCGAAAGCCUGACGGAGCAACGCCGCGUGAGUGAUGAAGGUCUUCGGAUCGUAAAACUCUGUUAUUAGGGAAGAACAAAUGUGUAAGUAACUAUGCACGUCUUGACGGUACCUAAUCAGAAAGCCACGGCUAACUACGUG
RNAcentral lists this ribosomal RNA (497 nucleotides) under uncultured bacterium. RNAcentral's name for it is "partial 16S ribosomal RNA". It matches the Rfam family "Bacterial small subunit ribosomal RNA", at positions 28 to 507 of the family's 1533-position model. The record is from RNAcentral.